Long non-coding RNA from Haliotis rubra (blacklip abalone), 778 nucleotides. RefSeq lists it as uncharacterized. The record is from RefSeq and is a predicted model, not a curated record. Lineage: Eukaryota; Metazoa; Mollusca; Gastropoda; Lepetellida; Haliotidae. The transcript has 3 exons.
UUAACCAAGCAUUAGACGAACAAGAUUAUAUAUACCUUGAAUGUUUGAACUCACAUAUUUCUUUAAAUAAUGUACGUGUUGUAAUUAUGCAAUUUACUUUCCUUUACUUUCAUGCAUGGAAUCUAGCGCAUUUCUAAUACUAAUCUUCAGUUCUCAAGACAAUCUACACACAGUGCUGUGGAAACAUAUGAGCUUGCAACCAUUAAUACACAUUUUAUUGCAGGUAAAAUAGAAUCGAAAAGCUUUCAAGUUUGUGGAAAGAUACGACACUGUCGCACCAAAGUUACAAGAUGAAAGGAUGGAAAGAAAACAAAAGAAAUGCAUGUCCAGUUCAAAGAUGAAGACAGUGAUGAAACCUAUAAUAGCACUUGCAAAACUGAGUGGACUUCUAAGACAAAGCCGAACAAACAGGUGUUAAAUGUUGAUCCCUCCUCGAGGGUGAUGGAGCCACUGUACGAAAUACAGGAUUCAACGAGGCGAACACAUCGUGCUAAAUUGACAGAAGUCAGAAGAGGGUGUAUAGUGUUUGUGUUUGAGCACGAAACCAGAGAUGAUAAAGAGGCAUCAGGAAUUAGAACACCUGAUAUUACACUGAUUGCGUGAAUUCGACUCAGAAGUUGAGGACAUAACCCUUCACAUAAAGCUACAAGACCUGAGUGAGUAUGAAAGGAAAGUGGAUACAAGAGAGCCCAGUCCACUGAAAAGGAAAACAAUUUUCAGCGAUUCGAUAUCAACAGGAAAAGAUUAUCUAUAUGCUGAUACAUCUCUGACAUCUUCA